CACCUGCACCUGUAAAUCUGCAACCCUGAGCCCAUUAACUGAUCCCUGACCUGUUGCCUGCUCAGGAUUCUCAGUUACUUUUGUUUGGACUUGCUUCCCCUGCCAGUAAACUUUUUGUAAAUUCACUUACUCAAUAAAUCACUGAAACUACAUUUUCGGCAUUUGCAUUUUUCACCUUGUUUUGGAACCUCCAUCACCAUCAGUGCUGGAAAGCAACUGCACGAGGAGCCUCUGGAUGGGAUCAUCAAUCUGCCGGACUUUCUUCUGGGAAACACAGAUCCCUGCUAACACUGAGGCAAGAGCAAAACCACAGACAAACAGGGGGACUCAGGCUAAAUACACAGGAAGAAGUACUUCUGCGCUCGUUUCCUGUCUCUCUCUGCUCUUCUUUCCAGUGCAUUCUGGGAAGUGUAGAGGUCGUCCAUCAGCCUCAUCAUGAGGUCGGAGAUCCUCGUGGUGACGGCCACAAUGUCGGGCCGCCGGUCUGGAUCUGGACUCAAGCACCUGAAAGGAAAACCCCUAAAGUAUGUUGGAGACUGACUGAUUUUAAAUUACUUUAAUAUAUAACAAUAAAAACACAAAAUAAU
Molecule: long non-coding RNA, 587 nt
Organism: Notothenia coriiceps (black rockcod)
Lineage: Eukaryota; Metazoa; Chordata; Actinopteri; Perciformes; Nototheniidae
Exons: 3
Source: RefSeq, a predicted model, not a curated record